GACGAACGCUGGCGGCGUGCUUAACACAUGCAAGUCGAACGGAAAGGCCCUGCUUGCAGGGUACUCGAGUGGCGAACGGGUGAGUAACACGUGGGUGAUCUGCCCUGCACUUCGGGAUAAGCCUGGGCAACUGGGUCUAAUACCGGACAGGAGCCAUUUUUAGUGUGAUGGUUGGAAAGUUUUUUCGGUGUUGGGUGAGCUCGCGGCCUAUCGGCUUGCUGCUGGGGUAAUGGCUUACCAAGGCGGCGACGUGUAGCCGCCCUGAGAGGGUGGACGGCCACAUUGAGACUGAGAGGCGGCCCAGGCACCGACGGGAGGCAGCAGGGGGGAAGAUUGCACAAUGGGCGCAAGCCGGAUGCAGCGACGCCGCGUGGGGGAUGACGGCCUUCGGGUUGUAGACUCCUUGCGCUAGGGACGAAGCAUGUUGUGACGGUACCUAGAUAAGAAGCACCGGCUAACUACGUG
This 465-nucleotide ribosomal RNA is filed under the name uncultured bacterium. RNAcentral describes it as "partial 16S ribosomal RNA". It matches the Rfam family "Bacterial small subunit ribosomal RNA", at positions 28 to 507 of the family's 1533-position model. The record is from RNAcentral.